This 253-nucleotide ribosomal RNA is filed under the name uncultured bacterium. Its description in RNAcentral is "partial 16S ribosomal RNA". It matches the Rfam family "Bacterial small subunit ribosomal RNA", at positions 524 to 776 of the family's 1533-position model. The record is from RNAcentral.
UACGGGGGGGGCAAGCGUUGUUCGGAAUUACUGGGCGUAAAGGGCUCGUAGGCGGCCAACUAAGUCAGACUUGAAAUCCCCAGGCUCAACCUGGGAACUGCGUCUGAUACUGGAUGGCUUGAAUCCGGGAGAGGGAUGCAGAAUUCCAGGUGUAGCGGUGAAAUGCGUAGAUAUCUGGAGGAAUACCGGUGGCGAAGGCGGCAUCCUGGACCGGCAUUGACGCUGAGGAGCGAAAGCCAGGGGAGCAAACAGG